This 657-nucleotide ribosomal RNA is filed under the name bacterium enrichment culture. RNAcentral's name for it is "bacterial SSU rRNA". It matches the Rfam family "Bacterial small subunit ribosomal RNA", at positions 73 to 748 of the family's 1533-position model. The record is from RNAcentral.
GCUUCCUUCGGGAAGUGGAUUAGCGGCGGACGGGUGAGUAACACGUGGGUAACCUGCCUCAAAGUGGGGGAUAGCCUUCCGAAAGGAAGAUUAAUACCGCAUAACAUAAGAGAAUCGCAUGAUUUUCUUAUCAAAGAUUUAUUGCUUUGAGAUGGACCCGCGGCGCAUUAGCUAGUUGGUAAGGUAACGGCUUACCAAGGCAACGAUGCGUAGCCGACCUGAGAGGGUGAUCGGCCACAUUGGAACUGAGACACGGUCCAGACUCCUACGGGAGGCAGCAGUGGGGAAUAUUGCGCAAUGGGGGAAACCCUGACGCAGCAACGCCGCGUGGGUGAUGAAGGUCUUCGGAUUGUAAAGCCCUGUUUUCUGGGACGAUAAUGACGGUACCAGAGGAGGAAGCCACGGCUAACUACGUGCCAGCAGCCGCGGUAAUACGUAGGUGGCGAGCGUUGUCCGGAUUUACUGGGCGUAAAGGGUGCGUAGGCGGAUGUUUAAGUGGGAUGUGAAAUCCCCGGGCUUAACCUGGGGGCUGCAUUCCAAACUGGAUAUCUAGAGUGCAGGAGAGGAAAGCGGAAUUCCUAGUGUAGCGGUGAAAUGCGUAGAGAUUAGGAAGAACACCAGUGGCGAAGGCGGCUUUCUGGACUGUAACUGACGCUG